RNAcentral lists this ribosomal RNA (301 nucleotides) under uncultured bacterium. RNAcentral describes it as "partial 16S ribosomal RNA". It matches the Rfam family "Bacterial small subunit ribosomal RNA", at positions 509 to 807 of the family's 1533-position model. The record is from RNAcentral.
CAGUCGCCACGGGAAUACGAAGGGGGCUAGCGUUGCUCGGAAUUACUGGGCGUAAAGGGAGCGUAGGCGGGUCGUUUAGUCAGAGGUGAAAUCCCGGGGCUCAACCUCGGAACUGCCUUUGAUACUGGCGACCUUGAGGAUGGGAGAGGUAAGCGGAACUCCGAGUGUAGAGGUGAAAUUCGUAGAUAUUCGGAAGAACACCAGUGGCGAAAGCGGCUUACUGGCCCAUUACUGACGCUGAGGCUCAAAAGCGUGGGGAGCAAACAGGAUUAGAUACCCCGGUAGUCCCUGUCUCUUAUAC